UGGGGAAUCUUGGACAAUGGGGGCAACCCUGAUCCAGCGAUGCCGCGUGGGUGAAGAAGGCCUUCGGGUUGUAAAGCCCUUUAGGCGGGGAAGAAGGAUAUGGGAUGAAUAAUCCUGUAUUUUGACGGUACCCGCAGAAUAAGCACCGGCAAACUCUGUGCCAGCAGCCGCGGUAAUACAGAGGGUGCGAGCGUUAAUCGGAUUUACUGGGCGUAAAGGGCGCGUAGGCGGUUGUAUGAGUGUGAUGUGAAAGCCCCGGGCUUAACCUGGGAAGUGCAUCGCAAACGAUACGACUGGAGUAUAUGAGAGGGUGGCGGAAUUUCCGGUGUAGCGGUGAAAUGCGUAGAGAUCGGAAGGAACGUCAAUGGCGAAGGCAGCCACCUGGCAUAAUACUGACGCUGAGGCGCGAAAGCGUGGGGAGCGAACAG
This 428-nucleotide ribosomal RNA is filed under the name uncultured bacterium. Its description in RNAcentral is "bacterial SSU rRNA". It matches the Rfam family "Bacterial small subunit ribosomal RNA", at positions 355 to 775 of the family's 1533-position model. The record is from RNAcentral.